UGCUAAAGAAAAAAAUAUUAACUCCUGACAGAGAUAUGCAAAAGUAUGUUAUAUAAUAUGCUUGAAGCAAUAAGAUUUUAGGAAAAAUGCAUGAUCAUAUUAGGAAUAAGAUGCCAUGGGUGAGAUUAGGAAUUAUCUCACCAUUAGAUAAACUCAAGAAGAUGAUACCUAAUUUAAGUCACUUUCGAGAACAAGUCACUACAACCGCGACUAAGGUGGUCUACAUGACUGAAACACUCUAACACCAAGUAUAUGUAUAGAUGCAACUUUAACAGAGGUUG
This 281-nucleotide long non-coding RNA is filed under the name Solanum tuberosum (potato). RNAcentral describes it as "long non-coding RNA (STUB_LNC011320)". The record is from RNAcentral. Lineage: Eukaryota; Viridiplantae; Streptophyta; Magnoliopsida; Solanales; Solanaceae.